UACGUAGGGCGCAAGCGUUGUCCGGAAUUAUUGGGCGUAAAGAGCUCGUAGGCGGUCUGUCGCGUCGGAUGUGAAAUCCCAGGGCUCAACCCUGGGCCUGCAUUCGAUACGGGCAGGCUAGAGUUCGGUAGGGGAGACUGGAAUUCCUGGUGUAGCGGUGAAAUGCGCAGAUAUCAGGAGGAACACCGGUGGCGAAGGCGGGUCUCUGGGCCGAAACUGACGCUGAGGAGCGAAAGCGUGGGGAGCAAACAGG
Molecule: ribosomal RNA, 253 nt
Filed under: uncultured bacterium
Lineage: Bacteria
Description: partial 16S ribosomal RNA
Rfam family: Bacterial small subunit ribosomal RNA
Source: RNAcentral